UGUAUUACUACCACUCUGUAUGACUCUGGUGUGCCUGCAACUGAAGUAUUGUGUUCAGUUCUGUACUCCACACUACAGGAAGGAUAUAGCCAGUUUGGAAUCAGUGCAGCGUAGGGCCACGAGGAUUGUUGCCAGAUUGCAGGGAAGGCCAUAUGAGGCAAGACUGAGGGAACUGGGUCUCUUCAGCCUGGAGAAGAGGAGACACCGAGGGGAUCUGUUGGUGACAUACAGGUACGUGAGGUGGUGUCAAGUGGAGGUG
This is a long non-coding RNA of Varanus komodoensis (Komodo dragon), 259 nucleotides long. RefSeq lists it as uncharacterized. The transcript has 3 exons. Lineage: Eukaryota; Metazoa; Chordata; Lepidosauria; Squamata; Varanidae. The record is from RefSeq and is a predicted model, not a curated record.